This 468-nucleotide ribosomal RNA is filed under the name uncultured bacterium. RNAcentral's name for it is "partial 16S ribosomal RNA". It matches the Rfam family "Bacterial small subunit ribosomal RNA", at positions 28 to 507 of the family's 1533-position model. The record is from RNAcentral.
GAUGAACGCUGGCGGCGUGCUUAGCACAUGCAAGUCGAACGGAAAGGCCCAAGCUUGCUUGGGUACUCGAGUGGCGAACGGGUGAGUAACACGUGGGUGAUCUGCCCUGCACUUCGGGAUAAGCCUGGGAAACUGGGUCUAAUACCGGAUAGGACCACUUCUUGGAUGUUGUGGUGGAAAGUUUUUUCGGUGUGGGAUGAGCUCGCGGCCUAUCAGCUUGUUGGUGGGGUAAUGGCCUACCAAGGCGUCGACGGGUAGCCGGCCUGAGAGGGUGUACGGCCACAUUGGGACUGGGAUACGGCCCAGACUCCUACGGGAGGCAGCAGUGGGGAAUAUUGCACAAUGGGCGCAAGCCUGAUGCAGCGACGCCGCGUGGGGGAUGACGGCCUUCGGGUUGUAAACUCCUUUCGCUAGGGACGAAGCGUUUUUGUGACGGUACCUGGAGAAGAAGCACCGGCUAACUACGUG